CAUCUCCCUCAUGCUCCUGUACUCUCCAGGCGUCAGGCCUCAGGUACAUCUGCCUGCCUGUCUCGUGGGGCUGCUUGUCCAUGACCUGCCCAGACUGGCAGUCAGAGAUGUGGUAAAGCUCUUGAAUUGACUCACAGUCCUCCAUCAGCUCCUGACUAUGACAGGGCAGUUGCUGCUGGUCUCAUAGGAGCGACCCUGGAAGUUCUUGUCCUCAUAGAAAAUGUUUGAAAUUCAACAAUAAAACUGUGUAAAGUUUGCAGUGGCCUCUUAAAUUUUAUCCUUCU
Osmerus eperlanus (European smelt) is the source of this 284-nucleotide long non-coding RNA. RefSeq lists it as uncharacterized. The transcript is spliced from 2 exons. The record is from RefSeq and is a predicted model, not a curated record. Lineage: Eukaryota; Metazoa; Chordata; Actinopteri; Osmeriformes; Osmeridae.